GCCAGGAUGAUGGAACUGGUAGACAUGCUUGGCUUAGAACCAAGUGCCUUCGGCGUGCAGGUUCAAGUCCUGUUCCUGGUA
This 81-nucleotide transfer RNA is filed under the name Candidatus Altimarinota bacterium. RNAcentral's name for it is "tRNA-Leu". It matches the Rfam family "tRNA". From Rfam's summary of the family: Transfer RNA (tRNA) molecules are approximately 80 nucleotides in length. Their secondary structure includes four short double-helical elements and three loops (D, anti-codon, and T loops). Further hydrogen bonds mediate the characteristic L-shaped molecular structure. tRNAs have two regions of fundamental functional importance: the anti-codon, which is responsible for specific mRNA codon recognition, and the 3' end, to which the tRNAs corresponding amino acid is attached (by aminoacyl-tRNA synthetases). tRNAs cope with the degeneracy of the genetic code in two manners: having more than one tRNA (with a specific anti-codon) for a particular amino acid; and 'wobble' base-pairing, i.e. permitting non-standard base-pairing at the 3rd anti-codon position. RNAcentral also lists the same sequence under 2 other names. Lineage: Bacteria; Candidatus Altimarinota. The record is from RNAcentral.